Molecule: ribosomal RNA, 372 nt
Filed under: uncultured organism
Description: partial 16S ribosomal RNA
Rfam family: Bacterial small subunit ribosomal RNA
Source: RNAcentral
GGGGGGGCGUGCGUUGUUCGGAAUUACUGGGCGUAAAGGGUGCGCAGGCGGCCUGGGAAGUCUUGGGUGAAAGCCCCCAGCUCAACUGGGGAAUGGCCUGAGAAACCACUGGGCUGGAGUGCUGGAGAGGGAAGCGGAAUUCCCGGUGGAGCGGUGAAAUGCGUAGAUAUCGGGAGGAACACCAGAGGCGAAGGCGGCUUCCUGGACAGACACUGACGCUGAGGCACGAAAGCUAGGGGAGCAAACGGGAUUAGAUACCCCGGUAGUCCUAGCUGUAAACGAUGGGUACUAGAUGUGGAGGUAAUUAAAGUCCCUUCCGUGUCCGCGAUAACUCAAUAAGUACCCCGCCUGGGGAGUACGGCCGCAAGGCUG